AGCUCUGAGGUGUACUACAUGUCAGAUUGCAAAUCUGAAGUCGCAGGCUAACACCUGCCGGGGCUU
RNAcentral lists this transfer RNA (66 nucleotides) under Petenia splendida (bay snook). Its description in RNAcentral is "tRNA-Cys". It matches the Rfam family "tRNA". From Rfam's summary of the family: Transfer RNA (tRNA) molecules are approximately 80 nucleotides in length. Their secondary structure includes four short double-helical elements and three loops (D, anti-codon, and T loops). Further hydrogen bonds mediate the characteristic L-shaped molecular structure. tRNAs have two regions of fundamental functional importance: the anti-codon, which is responsible for specific mRNA codon recognition, and the 3' end, to which the tRNAs corresponding amino acid is attached (by aminoacyl-tRNA synthetases). tRNAs cope with the degeneracy of the genetic code in two manners: having more than one tRNA (with a specific anti-codon) for a particular amino acid; and 'wobble' base-pairing, i.e. permitting non-standard base-pairing at the 3rd anti-codon position. The record is from RNAcentral. Lineage: Eukaryota; Metazoa; Chordata; Actinopteri; Cichliformes; Cichlidae.